This 253-nucleotide ribosomal RNA is filed under the name uncultured bacterium. RNAcentral describes it as "partial 16S ribosomal RNA". It matches the Rfam family "Bacterial small subunit ribosomal RNA", at positions 524 to 776 of the family's 1533-position model. The record is from RNAcentral.
UACAGAGGUCCCAAGCGUUGUUCGGAUUCACUGGGCGUAAAGGGUGCGUAGGUGGUGAGGUAAGUCUGAUGUGAAAGCUCGGAGCUUAACUCCGAAAUGGCAUUGGAAACUGCCUUGCUGGAGGGUUGGAGGGGGGACUGGAAUACUUGGUGUAGCAGUGAAAUGCGUAGAUAUCAAGUGGAACACCAGUGGCGAAGGCGAGUCCCUGGACAACUCCUGACACUGAGGCACGAAAGCUAGGGGAGCAAACGGG